CUACGGGCGGCUGCAGUGGGGAAUAUUGGACAAUGGGCGAAAGCCUGAUCCAGCCAUGCCGCGUGUGUGAAGAAGGCCUUCGGGUUGUAAAGCACUUUCAGUGGGGAAGAAAGCCUUGGGGCUAAUACCCUCGAGGAAGGACAUCACCCACAGAAGAAGCACCGGCUAACUCCGUGCCAGCAGCCGCGGUAAUACGGAGGGUGCGAGCGUUAAUCGGAAUUACUGGGCGUAAAGCGCGCGUAGGCGGUCUGAUAAGCCGGUUGUGAAAGCCCCGGGCUCAACCUGGGAACGGCAUCCGGAACUGUCAGGCUAGAGUGCAGGAGAGGAAGGUAGAAUUCCCGGUGUAGCGGUGAAAUGCGUAGAGAUCGGGAGGAAUACCAGUGGCGAAGGCGGCCUUCUGGACUGACACUGACGCUGAGGUGCGAAAGCGUGGGUAGCAAACAGGAUUAGAUACCCUGGUAGUC
RNAcentral lists this ribosomal RNA (464 nucleotides) under Vreelandella stevensii. RNAcentral describes it as "partial 16S ribosomal RNA". It matches the Rfam family "Bacterial small subunit ribosomal RNA", at positions 339 to 795 of the family's 1533-position model. The record is from RNAcentral. Lineage: Bacteria; Pseudomonadati; Pseudomonadota; Gammaproteobacteria; Oceanospirillales; Halomonadaceae.